This 1109-nucleotide long non-coding RNA is filed under the name Dermacentor andersoni. RNAcentral describes it as "uncharacterized LOC126519741". The record is from RNAcentral. Lineage: Eukaryota; Metazoa; Arthropoda; Arachnida; Ixodida; Ixodidae.
CAGAGCAAGGAGUGCUUAACUUGCUGCUUCAAUUGUCUGUAAAGAAAAGCCCAGGCCCUGAUGGAAUCCCCAAUGAAUUCCUGCUCAGAUAUGCAGAGUGGGUUGCCAAAUACCUCACAAAAAUCUUUCAAAUAUCCAUUACCUCGAGUUCUUUCCCGUCCGCUUGGAAAUAUGCCAAAGUUAUUCCGGUCCAUAAGAGUGGUUCUACGUCGGUUGUCAAUAAUUUCCGACCAAUUUCUCUCCUUUGUACAUGUUCUAAGUUGCUUGAGCAUAUUGUAUUUAAACACCUUAUGGAAUAUCUUGAACACAAUAAUAUACUUCAUCCUUCUCAACAUGGGUUCCGAAAAGGCCUUUCUACAAUUACCCAGCUCAUAGAAACCGUUCACGAUCUUUCCGAGGGAAUAAACAGCCGUGGCCAAACUGACAUAUUAUUCUAGGACUUUUCUAAAGCAUUCGAUAAGGUAUCCCAUCCAAAGUUGCUGCUAAAUAUUAAUGCUAUAUUCAGGAACUCCAAAAUAACACACUGGUUUUCUUCCUAUCUCUCCUCCCAAAGUUCAGAAACUUGCUUCCCGUUUUAUUUUCAAUAAAUAUCGCCGAACUGAUUCACCAACGGAAUUAUGUAAAUUAGCAAACCUUAAAAGUUUAGAAUACUGCACUAAGGUAGAUAGGCUGAAGUUUCUUUACCUUUUAAUUCAUGGCCACUUGAAUAUGAACACAUCACCAUAUGUUACAAUACACCCUAAUGAGACAUCAAGACAUCGCCAUUUCAUGUACAUUCCUGUGCCGCCUUCUUAUAACGAUUGUUUUAAGUACAGUUUUUUUUCCUCGUGUUAUUACAGAAUGGAACAUGCUGCCUGAUUCCAUUGUAAAUAUUAACUCCCUCGAUGCCUUUCUAGAAUGCCUGAAAUCUUACCUGGACCGUAGUACACCAAUGUAAUAGUUGUGCCUCAGCACUUGCAUGCGUUUUCUUAUCUACUGUUUGAUUUUUCCUUUGUCUUUUGUGUCGAUAUCGUAGUUGUGAAAUGUACCAUGUUUAGAAUGUGAAUUUAUUGGAUUUUCCACUCCUGUAAUAGCCUGAGAAAGGCUGACAGUAUCAAUGAAUGAAUGAA